RNAcentral lists this ribosomal RNA (589 nucleotides) under uncultured bacterium. Its description in RNAcentral is "bacterial SSU rRNA". It matches the Rfam family "Bacterial small subunit ribosomal RNA", at positions 337 to 917 of the family's 1533-position model. The record is from RNAcentral.
UCCUACGGGAGGCAGCAGUAGGGAAUCUUCCGCAAUGGACGAAAGUCUGACGGAGCAACGCCGCGUGAGUGAUGAAGGUUUUCGGAUCGUAAAACUCUGUUGUUAGGGAAGAACAAGUUGGGUAGUAACUGACCCAACCUUGACGGUACCUAACCAGAAAGCCACGGCUAACUACGUGCCAGCAGCCGCGGUAAUACGUAGGUGGCAAGCGUUAUCCGGAAUUAUUGGGCGUAAAGCGCGCGCAGGUGGUUUCUUAAGUCUGAUGUGAAAGCCCACAGCUCAACCGUGGAGGGUCAUUGGAAACUGGGAGACUUGAGUGCAGAAGAGGAAAGUGGAAUUCCAUGUGUAGCGGUGAAAUGCGUAGAGAUAUGGAGGAACACCAGUGGCGAAGGCGACUUUCUGGUCUGUAACUGACACUGAGGCGCGAACGCGUGGGGAGCAAACAGGAUUAGAUACCCUGGUAGUCCACGCCGUAAACGAUGAGUGCUAAGUGUUAGAGGGUUUCCGCCCUUUAGUGCUGAAGUUAACGCAUUAAGCACUCCGCCUGGGGAGUACGGCCGCAAGGCUGAAACUCAAAGGAAUUGACGGA